This 20-nucleotide microRNA is filed under the name Zea mays. RNAcentral's name for it is "zma-miR169o-3p". Its record names the gene zma-miR169o-3p. The record is from miRBase by way of RNAcentral. Lineage: Eukaryota; Viridiplantae; Streptophyta; Magnoliopsida; Poales; Poaceae.
GGCAGGUCUUCUUGGCUAGC